AAAAAACUAAUUACUUUCAAUCCUUAUGCAAUUGAUUCCCUCUUUAAAGUAAAAUUUUGAUAUUCCACUCCUUAUCUUCUUAAUCUUCAAUUAAUGUUGACGUGUAAAUAUAAUAUAAAAAAAAACAUUUUUGUUAUUAUAUUUUUAUAAUUUGCUUUGGAGGGCAUGUGAUUAUGAACGUCACCUAUGAUAUAAGAACAUGUACGAUCAAUGUUAUUAUAAUAAUAUACAAGUAUAUUUCAUCAAACAUAGGAUUUUGUUGAAUCAUUUUGCUUAAUUGUCACAUUUGAGAUUAGGGUUUAUGUUAGUAGCAAUUGUUUAUUCUUUAAAAAAAAAAAAACCCCUUUUCUCUUUUGCUAUUAUAAUCAUUAGAUAUUUACAUAUACUUGGGAUUAACAAGCCAGAGAUGAUAAUUAAAUUUAAUUAUGAUAUAGUAAAUAUAUAUUUGUUAUAAUGAUUGAUUAAUAACAAGUGGGGGAGAAGCAGAGCUAAUUUAUUAGUAAAAAAAAGUGGAAAAUAGUUUGCCAGAAAUCAAGUAGGAUUCUCACAUUAUUGAUUUUUGAGUCACACAAGUGAUCUUAUUAAUUGUUGUAUGUGUUCAACACAAGUGAUUAUAUUUUAUAUAUACAUAUAAUAUAUGCUAGCAAAGGCAUGUGAUUACCAGUUUAUUGGCUGAUCAACCCUAAGCCAAGUUGGUUUAGAAUGUUGGGUGUACUUGCUAGCUAGCUAAUUAAUCAAAUUAGUACAAUAUUUAUUUAUUCAUUACCUCAAGAAGAUUAAUAUUUUCGGGAAUUGCAACUGUUUUUAUUGGUAAUGUCGAUCAUGAGUUUUUCUUAGUAAUAUAAUGCAUCUUAUCACUACAUCCAAUACUUAUUAAGUUUAUAGAACUAAAUUAAAAUUCUGACUUUCUCCCGCUCCAAUCUUUUCUCGAGUUCGAUUUUAUUUAAGUUCAACCCUAGAACGUAAUACUAAUUACCUUUGGUGAGAUUGUAGAGUCAUAAUCUUGAUCAAAGAUUUGCUUCAUCAGCAUCCUUCAUAAACGACCUUAAUUAUUUAUAUAAAUGUCUCUUCCAAAUUCAUAAGAGAUGACAAAUAAUCAAUGCCUUAUAAUUUAAGCCAAAAGAUAUAUAAUUAAGGAGCCCCAAAAUUUAAAUUUAUUGUACCAAACGUAUCACCCUAUUGGACAGUGGCUUGUCAGAAUCUUAUAAUAUAAUUCAUUUGCUUAUGUAUUUUGCAGAUUCGAGCCAUCAGGAAUCUGAGCAUGUUUGAUGGUGAAUCUUGUCUUUUUUAUUAUAUGAAAAUUUUAUUUGCAUUUCAUGGACUACAUUUCGAGGCUCCCAACAGUUUUCAGUACUAUUUUACUUUCCACAUUUUGAUGCUUCGCAAUUCUAAAGAGGUAACUGCAUCUGCAAAUCAUAUAUUGGGUUUGAAAUGGUAAAACUACCAUGUAACCCCUUGUAUCAAGAGUUAGGUUACAUGUUGUCCUACUAUUGAAAAAAUGAGAAAUUAGUCCCUGUACAUUAUAUUAAAGAGCAAAUUGGUUCUUUCUGUUGAAAAUUUCACCCAUUUAUAUUGUUAAAAAAUUGGCGUGAUUGAUGGAAUAAUCAGACAGAGACGUGUCACCUGUCAUGUGUACCUCAUGUUGACGUACAGGGAUAAAUUUUUAAUAAAAGGACCAGCUUUUUGGUCUACGUACGAGGACUAAUUUGCUAUUUUUUUAGUGGAGGGGGCAAAAUGCAAUCCAACUCCUAGUAUAGGGGUUCCAUGUUACUUUUACUUUUUUUAAAUUGAUAAAUACAAUUUAACUAGGGUUAAUAUAUUAUUUGGUACUUGAUUUUGGAUUUGAUUUUCAACUUGGUACUUGAGCUAUAUUUUUGUCACAAUUAACCACCUAUGUACUUUUUACCAGAACACAUUGAAUUUUUAUUUUUAUUUUUGGCUCAGUUGAUGUGAAUAAAUUAAUAAUAGGAAGCCGUUGGUAAAUACCAGCCACUUUCCUAGACAAAAAUUACAAAACAUCCAUCACACAUGCAAACUACUAAUAGAUAAAAAGAAAAUAGAUCACCACCAAGCUUUAAAUAAUGCUGAUCUUCUCACCCCUGCUACAGCCAAAGCUGUAGCCAUGCCAUGACCUUGCCUAUAAACUAAUGCAAAGUGAACACUAACCAGAUAGUCAAUACAACGAUCAAUACCUACGAAAAGAUUCCACAUUGAACACUGAAGCUGAACUAAGGUACCAAGUUGAACUUAGAUAUAAAAUGAUAUAUUAACUCUUCCAACUAGGAGCAUGCUUGAAGUUAUUGUUUAUGUUAUAACAAUUGUGAAUAGAGUAAUCAUUUGAUACAUCAUCUAUGGAGUUUUUUAGACUCCACAAAAAGAUUAAAAGUAUGAUAUAUAAGUGCUACUUUUAUUUAUAUUUAUAUUUUUUACUACAUCCUAUAAUACAUUUGUUACACUUUAGACAUUUUUUGCAUUGAAAAUAUAGAUUCCAUCUAUUUUUAUACAGGCAAAAAAUUACAUUCCUAUGGACAAAGAGAAAAAAAUCUACCAACACAUGGACCCAACCUUAAUUCUCGUAAGUAUAUAUCUGUUCAUUCACUCUCUAUACAGAUGAUAAUUACCAAACAUCUACUCUCUAUUUAUUUAAGAGUUUGAUUAGAUUGGUGUUAUUGAUAAAUCGGAUUUUAAAUUAGUUAAAAAAUUAUAAAAAAAAUGUUUUACCUAUUAUUAUAUUUUUAUAUAAAAUCUAGAAAAAUACAUAUGCUAUAGUUUUUAAUAACUCAAUUUUAUUAUACCAAAACUUCAUUAUUUGUUUUUUCUAAUCGAAUUUUCUGUAAAUAUAUUUGUUACAUAAACUAUUUUUCCCUUACGUAAUGAGUGUGUUAUAAUCUAAAUUAAAUAAUUGACAUCUUGUAACCAUUGGAUCCAUAAAACAUUAGAUUAUAAGCAGGCAGGAGUAUGAUUUAUGGAUCAGCGCAUGUGCAAAUAAUAAGUCAAAAUUAUGGUGGGUUUUCUGAGGGACAAAGUCAAAAGAAUAUUGAAUUAUAAAAUAUAAUUUUGUUAUUGUAUUAAUUAAUAAUUUUAAAAUUAUAAAGAAACAACCUCAUUAAUGAAAUAAAAGAUGGUCAAUGCAUCAAAUAUUAAGGUUUUUAAAAAUAUGCUCUAAAAGCAAUUUGUCAAUGAAAUCCUUAAUUUCCGUCAUACUGUCCAAAGAAAUUAAGGAAUAAUGGCAUAUAAUCUUUAUUCUUUAAGUUCCAAAAUCGACUGAGAGAUUUUCUAAUUCCAAGGUUUUAGAUCUCAUGGUCCCAACUUCCCAACUUUAGGACAUGUUAUUAACUGGAUUAAAAUAUAUAUUAUGGUUAUUUUUUAAAGAAUAAAUAUAUAAAUUUUAAUUUUAUGUAAUUUUAUACGUGUCAUUUUGAUUUGAUUCGGUUUUCAUGAACUAUAAUUUUCAUUAUUGAUAUAACUGCAUUUUAUGUUUAUAUAUUUAAAUAAUUAUUCUUAUACAAUAUAAAAAAAUAAAUUGAGGUGUUUAUUUCUUUAAAUGUGUACAGUUAAAGAAAAAUUAAAAUUAAUACGUACAAUUACACGAAACAGAAGUUCAUAUAUAAUUUUGAUAUUUAUCCAUUUUCUAAAGUGUAUAUAUGUGUGUUUUUUAUAUUCUUCAUGUCCGUUUUAUGGUGGAGUUCGUGGCUGUCCCUCCCAACAAUGUCAUCUUCAAGGUUUAAACAUGCGUAUUUCUCUUGGGAGUGUAAUGUGCCUUACCAUUACACCCAAUCACUUGUUGAUUUAAAGUGUAUAUAUAUAUCAUGAUUAUUCGAAGUGUAUCAAGAGUCCUUAUACUAUAAUAAUUUAUUCAUGACCCGAUUCGACUCAUAAAAGAAACAACCUAAUCAUCCCCCAAAAAAACCAUGUAUUUUUUUCAAUCAUACGCUAGUUCAAAAAUACAUGAAUUUUCUUAGGGAUGGUUGGAUUUUUUUUUUAUGGAUUAAGUCAUGGGUAAAGUAGUUGGGAAAGAUAUAUAUUUUGUCUAAAUUAUCAGCAACUUAACGCCAUAUUAUAAUAGUGUCAAAUUUUAAUAUAUAAAAAUUAACGUAGAGCCAUUUUUAGUAGAGAGACUAAAAUAAAGUUUUAUGUAAUAAUUUAUUUUGAUAUUUUUGAUAUUACAUUUAAUACAUAUUGUGAUUUUAAAUACUCACAGUAUAUACUUAGAAUAAUUCAUUAAGAUUUAAGGAAAACAGUACUCGUGAAUAGCUUAGGAUCGCACACGCAUUUAAAAAUUUGGUUUACUAGAAUCAAUAAAAUCUGGUCCAAUAAACAUCAUUUAUUUAUAAUUAAUUAUCUUAAAUUUUGCUAAUAAGUUUUGUAUUAAAAUUAGGGUUCUAACGUGUAUUCCAACGUUAUUAUUAUUAUUAAAUUCAAAAGAUAAACAAUACAUAAAUUUUCCUUUUCUACAAAAGCCAC
Molecule: long non-coding RNA, 4464 nt
Filed under: Gossypium raimondii (Peruvian cotton)
Lineage: Eukaryota; Viridiplantae; Streptophyta; Magnoliopsida; Malvales; Malvaceae
Description: long non-coding RNA (GRAI_LNC006811)
Source: RNAcentral